UACGUAGGGGGCAAGCGUUAUCCGGAUUUACUGGGUGUAAAGGGAGCGUAGACGGUCUGGCAAGUCUGAUGUGAAAACCCAGGGCUCAACCUUGGGAUUGCAUUGGAAACUGUCAGACUAGAGUGCAGGAGAGGUAAGUGGAAUUCCUAGUGUAGCGGUGAAAUGCGUAGAUAUUAGGAGGAACACCAGUGGCGAAGGCGGCUUACUGGACUGUAACUGACGUUGAGGCUCGAAAGCGUGGGGAGCAAACAGG
RNAcentral lists this ribosomal RNA (253 nucleotides) under uncultured bacterium. RNAcentral describes it as "partial 16S ribosomal RNA". It matches the Rfam family "Bacterial small subunit ribosomal RNA", at positions 524 to 776 of the family's 1533-position model. The record is from RNAcentral.